AAUAAGAACAAACUUCUCACUUCAAAAUACUCGAUGGACCAAUCGGAAUGAAGAAACAAUUUUUAUGGUGUGAAGUGAAAAUAGAAAUGUCUAGUAACAGAAGAAAAAAUACCAUAUAUACAUCGUAUUAUCGAUGACCCAAGUGAAGAAGAAAUGGUGAAAAAUGGCGACUAGGAUGUGGCGUCCUCAACGUGAAGAACGAUAUCCUGAAGACUAGAUUCUCGCUGCCCAUGGACUGAGAUCGCGUGCUCUACUACGUAAUCUAAGGGAAGAUGAUUCGAUAGAUUGUAUGUGAGGAAUUCUCCCCGAUUGUCAGCCGUAUAAAAGAACCGGUUUACCUAACUUUGGACACCACCUGUCGACAGUUUACGUCUUACGUCUCGCGUCUCGCGGUUGCAUCUCUCUCGUCGUUGAUUGUUUCGCGCAUUUCGUCGAAAAAGUCAAAGUGACAUAUCGGAAUGCACGUGUCACGUGCGGUAAUUUAGACAACGUUUCGUCAAUCGAAUUGCAUGGAAAACCUGUUGGUGAGAUCGGUCGCGCGCAAUUUUUAAUCUCGCAAUCGAUGUCUAUCAUGGUGUCUGUUAUAGUGUUUACGCGUCGUGAGUGUGAUAAAUACCGGACAAGGUCAUCGCGAGUGCAUACGAGUGUCGCGUUCGCGAGUGUUUGCAAGUGUUCAUUCACUUUUGAUAGUGAAUGACUCAACGCAAUGCGAGGAACGAGCAGUCUGGCAAUCAACGAAGUAUGUGGACCUCGAGGAUUGAGAAUUCCAGGAAGAGUGCUGCGAGAAAGUGAGAAUCAAGAG
This is a long non-coding RNA of Camponotus floridanus (Florida carpenter ant), 802 nucleotides long. RefSeq lists it as uncharacterized. NCBI's taxonomy places the organism in Eukaryota, Metazoa, Arthropoda, Insecta, Hymenoptera, Formicidae. The record is from RefSeq and is a predicted model, not a curated record. The transcript is spliced from 3 exons.